RNAcentral lists this non-coding RNA (45 nucleotides) under Echinostoma caproni. Lineage: Eukaryota; Metazoa; Platyhelminthes; Trematoda; Plagiorchiida; Echinostomatidae. The record is from RNAcentral.
GCACUGCUGACGAGUCCCGAACAGGACGAAACAGCUGUGUAGUGC